UUCUGGCUCAGGAUAAACGCUGGCGGCGUGCAUAACACAUUCAAGUCGAACGAAGCUCCGGAACUUGCUUGCAAGGGAAGGAAGACUUAGUGGCGGACGGGUGAGUAACGCGUGAGCAAUCUGCCUCGGGGGUGCGGGAUAACGUCUGGAAACGGACGCUAAUACCGCAUGACGCACACUGAUCGCAUGGUCGGUAUGCCAAAGAUUUAUUGCCCUGAGAUGAGCUCGCGUCCGAUUAGACAGUUGGCGGGGUAACGGCCCACCAAAUCAACGAUCGGUAGCCGGACUGAGAGGUUGAACGGCCACAUUGGAACUGAGAUACGGUCCAGACUCCUACGGGAGGCAGCAGUGGGGAAUAUUGGGCAAUGGGCGAAAGCCUGAACCCCAGCGACGCCGCGUGAGGGAAGAAGGUCUUCGGAUUGUAAACCUCUUUCAGCAGGGAAGAAGGAAGUGACGGUACCUGCAGAAGAAGCCACGGCUAACUACGUGCCAGCCGCAGC
This 500-nucleotide ribosomal RNA is filed under the name uncultured bacterium. RNAcentral's name for it is "bacterial SSU rRNA". It matches the Rfam family "Bacterial small subunit ribosomal RNA", at positions 17 to 518 of the family's 1533-position model. The record is from RNAcentral.